AGGAAGGAAGGAAGGAAGGAAGGAAGGAAGGAAGGAAGGGGGAAAAGAGGAAAUCAAACAAACAUACAAAGAUGUCUGUCUUCCAGAAAUUAAAUAGAUAAGAAUUGCUUAGAUAUGAAAAGUCAUGGCUGUGAUAAAGGCCUCGGGGUACUAUGGUGAAAAUGAAUAGAAAAUGAUUAUUGUGUUUCUUACAAUGCCAGAAAAUUAGAGGGCAUUUAGUGAGGUUACAGGCAGCAGAUUAACAGCAAAUGCAAGAGAAAGUACUUUUUUUUUCUCACAGAGUGUGUAAUCAAAUUAUAGCUCUCAGUGCCAACUGAAUAUUCCAGUUCUUUAAAUAGAAGCAAUUAGAAAAUUUGUUGAAGGGUAGAUUCAUCAUCUAAUUUUAAAUAUGUUGAAUGGGGUGCUAUGAUCAUCUCAGACAGACACUAAUUCUUUGCUGUAGGAGCCUCAGAGAGUGUCCCAGCCAGAGAUCUCAUCAUGUUUAUCAUCUUCUCCGCGUGGAGAAUUCACCACUGGAUGCUGUUGCAGACAAGACUUUUCCCUGUUCCUGCAGAGAAAAAAAAACAACACAUGGAUUAAGAAGAUAAAGACCCAUCAAUAGGCCAAGACUGAUGUUAUAAGGAAAGCUUGUGGGGGGUUCAUCAUCUGCAGCAGGUGGCACUUUUUACUGUGCUGAAUCUUCUAGAGUUCCCAGAGCACAAGCUUCCUGGGAUUACAGUGUAAGAUAUGUUUAAUAACAGAUCUAAUAAAAAUGAUAAUUUGAGGGUUUUUUUCUUUUCUUUUUUUUUUUUCCUCUCUCUCUCUUCAUGAUUUCAGUACACAGGCAAAGAAAAUUAAAAAAUAAUGCUGAGUAAAGAACCCAUGCCUGUAAGUCUGCACGAGCAAAAGCUUUUCCCUAUUCUAUAUAUGCAAGCAUAUCACAUAAUGUAAUUUAGUUUUACUAGGCUCCUAAAACACAGGCAUGUGUAAGAUGCACGGGCUCAGUGGAAUGGAAACUGAAAUUGAGGACUGGUUUUAUUCAAUAAUUUCAUUAAAGGCCUUAGUGCAGAGGAGGAGCAAUUAUGUCUGUUGAUGGCACAAAAAUGAGAGUUCUUAUCAACACAGUAAUAGCCAAGUGAAAUAAGGGAGGAAGGGAACAGACUUCAGACAUAAAAUAGAAGUAGGAUGAAAGGAUAAGUAAUGCAUGGCAGGAUUAAUUGCAGGUAUUCCUGUAAUAGCUGGAAGCUCAUAAUUUAGAAAUGACAGAAGAAAAAGAGAUAGAAGGAUACUGACUGAGAAAUGUAUGAUUACAGCUACUAUUGUCACAUGAGAAAAUCAAAUGCAAUCACAAGAGAGGUGUUUUUGAUAGAUACAGGGCAAUAUCAUGAGGUAUUUGUGGGACUUUACCUGGAAUACUGUGCAUAAUUCUGACUGUUUGCAUUCAGAAGUGUAUUCCUGUGACUGACAUUCAGGUAAAGCCUAGGGGAAACAUCUUCCAUUCACUGGCCUGUUUCCUUUUCUGUAGACUGUGCAUUUUUUCAAAGAAUAUAUGUGAAACACUUUAAAAGUGUCUGAUGAAAUGGUAUGUCUCUGAGCACAGAAUGUAACACCAUCAAAAUGUUUGAAGUGUUCACAUUGCUUUGUUAGGGUUAAGAGGGCUUAAGUAUACGGCCAAGAGAUAGAAAAGACUCAGUUGCCAUCUAGUGUAUCUCCUGAAAGAUCGGGGAUGUGAUUCUCUGUGCCUUUCCUUGUACGGUGCUAGAACUGACAAAAAAAGGACCUUCAGCCACUUGUAUUAUGACUUUUCUUAAAACAUGAGAAAGAAGGUUAGGUAUCAAUGCGUAUGCAAGGGAUCUUGGAUUAACUCCCUAAACAUAGACCUCUUAUGCUUUUGAGAUGCCCUAGUUCAAUUUGCUUGGCCUCUAGACUCUAGGUAACAAUUUUUUUCCUGUAGACCAUGGGCCACAAUUACCCAUGUUGCAUCAACCUCUUGUAUACCAGAACAUGAUGCUGUAUUAAGGCAGCUAAAUUAAUUGCCAGUGAUACAACAUGACUUGUGUCAAAGUGUGUUCAUAAUUGAUAAAAUAAAACUUUAUGCAUGGUCCAGAAAAUAUUGAAAUAAAUUUAAUAAUAAACUUGUCAUAGAUCCAACUUGGUACUGCAGUAAUUUGAGUAGUAAUACUAGCAAAUGAGAUAAAGUGUCAUCUAUUUAAUUUGAACCUGAAAAAGUGUCUUGAAGUCCA
Long non-coding RNA from Coturnix japonica (Japanese quail), 2222 nucleotides. RefSeq lists it as uncharacterized. The record is from RefSeq and is a predicted model, not a curated record. Lineage: Eukaryota; Metazoa; Chordata; Aves; Galliformes; Phasianidae.